UAACAUGAUCAGCUUGGAUUCCAAGCUUGUUGGGUACCUUUCUUUGGACCAUUUUCGGAGCAAAAGCUACAGGAGAAACAUAGUGAAUUUGAAAUGGGUUUUCUUCCCCGUGGCCAAUAUGCAAUUCAAGCCAAGGAAGCAAGAUGAAAUUUGAAUAAGGCUGAGAUAUGUGUUUGAUGCUGACCUGCACCAACAGGUAUGUUUAGGGCCCUUUGUUUAGGCAUUUUCUGAAAUGAAUUAUUUCACUAGUGACAUUUGACACAGUCUUACUUCUUGUUUCUUUAGCGGUGAUUGUAUACUCUAAUCCACUAUAUUCUACAUGGACAGCAAUAGCCCCUCAUUUUCUGGAUAAGGAAAAUCAGUUGGGUGAUGGAUAAUACUCAUGUUAAAGCAUUGAUAAACCCAUAUUACUUCGACUUUGAGUCUUUAUUUAUUCCCUUUUAAUUUCUCUAACUGUGUAUGCCCUCAAUGUUUCUAUACAAUAAAACUUGCUUCUUGAUGAGUUUGAAGGCUUGAA
Molecule: long non-coding RNA, 517 nt
Organism: Carya illinoinensis
Lineage: Eukaryota; Viridiplantae; Streptophyta; Magnoliopsida; Fagales; Juglandaceae
Exons: 2
Source: RefSeq, a predicted model, not a curated record